GCGACGGCGGUAGGGCUGAGGGGCUCGGCCUCCCUCGUAACCAAACGGUCGAUACGGGUGGCCAGUAACACAUACCCGCUCUUGGCAUAUAUAGGAUAACCCAAACCGGAAGUGAUGAAGGCUUGGCCUACGGGGUCGCCACAGCCCCUAGCCCCUUCGGAGGAAGGGGUAAAGGGGUUAAACUUUAGAACCGGGUCAGGCCCGGAAGGGAGCAGCCCUAAUAAAGGGUGGUGACGUUCGUAGGUAACAAGCCAGAAUGGAAGGUUUGGGAAGUCCUAUAUAUGCCAAGGGUUGGUAUGUGGGCGCCGUCGC
This 312-nucleotide signal recognition particle RNA is filed under the name Thermoproteota archaeon. Its description in RNAcentral is "Crenarchaeota archaeon (hot springs metagenome) signal recognition particle sRNA". It matches the Rfam family "Archaeal signal recognition particle RNA". The record is from RNAcentral. Lineage: Archaea; Thermoproteati; Thermoproteota.